GAGGGGGAAAGAUUUAUCGCUUUAAGAUUGGCCCGCGGAAGAUUAGGUAGUUGGUGGGGUAAAGGCCUACCAAGCCGACGAUCUAUAGCUGGUCUGAGAGGACGAACAGCCACAUUGGAACUGAGACACGGUCCAGACUCCUACGGGAGGCAGCAGUGAGGAAUAUUGGGCAAUGGAGGAAACUCUGACCCAGCCAUGCCGCGUGAGUGAAGAAGGUUUUCGAAUUGUAAAGCUCUUUCGGAUGGGACGAUGAUGACGGUACCAUCUAAAGAAGCCCCGGCAAACUUCGUGCCAGCAGCCGCGGUAAUACGAAGGGGGCAAGCGUUGUUCGGAAUUACUGGGCGUAAAGGGUGUGUAGGCGGAUUUGUAAGAUAGUGGUGAAAUACCUGAGCUCAACUUAGGAAUUGCCAUUAUAACUAUAGAUCUGGAGUGACAGAGAGGAUAUUGGAAUACCCAGUGUAGAGGUGAAAUUCGUAGAUAUUGGGUAGAACACCAGUGGCGAAGGCGAGUAUCUGGCUGUCAACUGACGCUGAGGCACGAAAGCAUGGGGAUCAAACAGGAUUAGAUACCCUGGUAGUCCAUCCUA
Molecule: ribosomal RNA, 586 nt
Filed under: uncultured bacterium
Lineage: Bacteria
Description: bacterial SSU rRNA
Rfam family: Bacterial small subunit ribosomal RNA
Source: RNAcentral